RNAcentral lists this ribosomal RNA (971 nucleotides) under Theloderma ryabovi. Its description in RNAcentral is "partial 16S ribosomal RNA". It matches the Rfam family "Bacterial large subunit ribosomal RNA", at positions 1328 to 2553 of the family's 2925-position model. Lineage: Eukaryota; Metazoa; Chordata; Amphibia; Anura; Rhacophoridae. The record is from RNAcentral.
UUCCCCAUGUCGUCAAACACAACCCCCAAGUUUAAGAGUUAUUCAACCAGGGUCACAGCUUGCUUGAAAUAGGACACAACCCUACACAACAGGGGUAAAAGCCACAUCUUAUGUAAAGUGGGCCCAAAAGCAGCCACCUUCAAAAAGCGUUUAAGCUUAAUAUGCACCACCCCCACCCCCCUCCCAUUAAUGGGCGUGAACCCCCAAACCCCACUGAGUGAUCCCAUACUUAUAUGGAACACAUAAUGCUAGGACUAGUAACAAGAACAAAUUCUCCAAAAUGUAAAUAUAGGCCAGAAUGGAUUUCCCCCCGGCAAUUUACGAAGAUGAGCCAAUUACAGCAACUUUAACAAGAAAACCCUGAAAUACCCUCCCGUUUACCUUACACUAGCACACUCAUGGGAAGAUUAACAGAAAAAGAAAGAACUCGGGGAAUCUCAGCCCCGCCCGUUUACCAAAAACAUCGCCUCUUGACCCACUAUAAAAGGUCCCGCCCGCCCAGUGACAUAGUUUAACGGCCCCGGUAUCCUAAACGUGCGAAGGUAGCAUAAUCCCCUGUUUUUUAAAUAAAGACUCGUAUCAACGGCACCACGAGGGCCGCACUGUCUCCUUUUUCCAAUCAGUGAAACUGAUCUCCCCGUGAAGAAGCGGGGAUAAAACCAUAAGACGAGAAGACCCCAUGGAGCUUCAAACUAAACAGCAACUCUGUUACACAACCCCUAUUACCCACAGAAACAUGCCUGUUAGUUUUAGGUUGGGGCGACCACGGAGCACAAAACAACCUCCAUGACGAAAAGAACUAACUCUUAACCCUAGAGCCACUCCUCCAAGAAUUAGCACACUAACGAACAAUGACCCGACUAUCGAUCAACGAACCAAGUUACCCUGGGGAUAACAGCGCAAUCUACUCCAAGAGUCCCUAUCGACAAGUAGGCUUACGACCUCGAUGUUGGAUCAGGGUACCCCAGUGG